GGAGCCCGACGCGGGGCUCAAACCCACGAACCGAGAGAUCGCGACCUGAGCUGAAGUUCGACGCUCAGCUGACUAAGUGACUCAGGCGCCCCAAACUAAUUCUGAUUCUGAGGCCCCUGGUCGGUCCACUACAGAGCCUGGCCCUGGGAAGAAAGAGGAGUCUUGGAUUCAUCAUCACUCCACCUUGUGUGGCUCAAGAGAUCGUUGUCUCCUGUUCCCAUGUGGUUUUGCCGUGGACAAAGAGAACAAAAGUUGACCCUGGAACAGCCUUAUCUUCAGUCACUCUCUGGGGGAGUUUCCUUAUUUACAUGCAAGCCAUGAUCUUUCAAAUGAUGUUUCACAUGGGACCCCAAUACAGAUGAGAUAAUUGGAGAAGUAGUGGGACUUUCUGAGGACAUGUAGGCCAAUCACUGAGUUCACUUCUUGAAAAAUUAGUCACCUUGUAAAAUUUAAAAAAUAUGUGUAUGUAUAUAUAUAUGUGUAUACACACACACACACACACACACAUAUAAACAAGUAGAAAUGAAUAAAAAUCAUUGGCUUUGACAAAUACGUUCAACUAUCUGUUAAAAUAGCUCUUGAUUCUUAGUCCUUUCCACCAUUUAUGUCCAUAUAAUGAUGUGAGCCCAGGUCGUUGAAAAACCAUGUCUCUAAGAAAGAAACAAGAAAUUGUCUCUAACAAGACAAUUGUCUGAAACAUGAAUUGUCUGAUGGGAACCCGAUCUCCUGUCCUAGCUCUCUUCAAUUCAGUCCAACAGUCCUAAUUUGUCAGUCACAAUGAAACAAUUUGGUGUUCAUUAGCCAGAUUCAGAGGUAAGGAACUUGAGACUUCAAAAGAAAUCUCUCCUCCCAGUAGGCCAGUCUGUAGUCUCCUGGGGAUGUAUCCCUUUUUCUCUGCCAAUCUGGAUGUUUCCAUGUACAGGCUCUGGGAGGCCCUGCCUCAGGCCACUCCAAAGCCAGGGGUUUGAACUCUAAAACCAGGUGUCUCUUCACUACACAACAUUAUUCCCUGGUCCAUGGGUUUUCAACUCUAACAGACUUUCUUCUCUUCUUCAGCCUGGCCAAAAUAAUUCCAUUUCGUAUUUGAGACCCAAAUCACCUCUCAUGUUCUCUCAGAAGUGACCCUUGGCUGCUUCUGUCCAUACAGACAUUUCUGUUCUUUGAACGUAGAGCUGAUACACAAUUAUAAUGACACUGAAGACACAUUAUCUUGGCUACCUUCUCUAUCUGUCUGUU
Leopardus geoffroyi (Geoffroy's cat) is the source of this 1236-nucleotide long non-coding RNA. RefSeq lists it as uncharacterized. The transcript has 3 exons. The record is from RefSeq and is a predicted model, not a curated record. Lineage: Eukaryota; Metazoa; Chordata; Mammalia; Carnivora; Felidae.